GAAAAUUCUAAGUACCAAGAAUGUUCAGUAAAUUAAGAUCUACAAACACAUCACUAUCAGCAAAACACAAUUUUGUCAUGAAUCCAUCUGUGUCCUUUGUUUAAUAUGCACAUAGACCAAGGUGAGCGACACAGGCUCUUUGGAGCCUCUAGUUUAUUCAUACAUACUGUCAAAUCCAAAUAACUGAAAUUACGUAUAAAUUAUCAACAUAUUUUAGUUGCUUGACUUGUAAAUGCCAAUACACAAUGUUAUUGCUAGGUUUUUCGGUAUUGCAAGCUUGUUGCCAAUGUCUAGAUCUUUCUAGAGACUUUAAAACUCUAAUCAGAGAUAAAUCUGUAUUUUUAAGGAUUACAUUUUUAUAGAGACAUUUUCAUGACUGACAUUAUGUUGUGUACCUAUAGCUAAAUGACAAAGAAUAAAAGAGAUGAAAAUAUGGAUUAUAUUUGAAUGUAUGGGGAAAGGGAUUUUGUUAUGAGCUGGGGGAAAUAAAUUUUUGUAAAACAUGCAUAUUUAGUUGUUUUUCUGUUGCUUAAUUAUCAAGUAGAAAACUUCAAAUCAGGUAUCUGAAAUAAAAACAAGCCUGAUUUUGUUGAAGUGAUAAUUUUUAUGCCCAACUACGAUAAAAUAGCGGCAAAUAUGUUUUCUGGUAUGUGGGUCCGUUCAUUAGUUUGUCCUUCCAUUUGUCCGUCCGUCUGUCCCCCUUAAGGUUAAAGUUUUUGGUCAAGGUAGUUUU
RNAcentral lists this long non-coding RNA (733 nucleotides) under Mytilus galloprovincialis (Mediterranean mussel). Lineage: Eukaryota; Metazoa; Mollusca; Bivalvia; Mytilida; Mytilidae. The record is from RNAcentral.